RNAcentral lists this ribosomal RNA (406 nucleotides) under uncultured bacterium. Its description in RNAcentral is "partial 16S ribosomal RNA". It matches the Rfam family "Bacterial small subunit ribosomal RNA", at positions 30 to 526 of the family's 1533-position model. The record is from RNAcentral.
AUUGCACGCUGGCGGCAGGCCUAACACAUGCAAGUCGAACGAGUGGCGGACGGGUGAGUAAUGUCUGGGAAACUGCCUGAUGGAGGGUGAUAACUACUGGCAACGGUAGCUAAUACCGCAUACCAUCGGAUGUGCCCAGAUGGGAUUAGAUAGUAGGUGGGGUAACGGCUCACCUAGGCGACGAUCCCUAGCUGUUCUGAGAGGGUGACCGGCCACAGUGGAACUGAGGCACGGUCAAGACUCCUACGGGAGGCAGCAGGGGAGAAUAUUGCUGAAUGGGCGAAAGCCAGAAGCAGCCAUGCCGCGUGUAGUAAGAAGGCAAUCAGGUUUUAAAGUACUUUCAGCUUGGAGGCGUUACCUGCAGAAGAAGCCCCGGCUAACGCCGUGCCAGCAGCCGCGGUAAUUC